This 616-nucleotide ribosomal RNA is filed under the name Cortinarius velenovskyi. RNAcentral's name for it is "eukaryotic LSU rRNA". It matches the Rfam family "Eukaryotic large subunit ribosomal RNA", at positions 1 to 615 of the family's 3401-position model. Lineage: Eukaryota; Fungi; Basidiomycota; Agaricomycetes; Agaricales; Cortinariaceae. The record is from RNAcentral.
UGUGACCUCAAAUCAGGUAGGACUACCCGCUGAACUUAAGCAUAUCAAUAAGCGGAGGAAAAGAAACUAACAAGGAUUCCCCUAGUAACUGCGAGUGAAGCGGGAAAAGCUCAAAUUUAAAAUCUGGCAGUCUUUGACUGUCCGAGUUGUAAUCUAGAGAAGUGCUAUCCGCGCUGGACCGUGUACAAGUCUCCUGGAAUGGAGCGUCAUAGAGGGUGAGAAUCCCGUCUUUGACACGGACUGCCAGGGCUUUGUGAUACGCUCUCAAAGAGUCGGGUUGUUUGGGAAUGCAGCUCAAAAUGGGUGGUAAAUUCCAUCUAAAGCUAAAUAUUGGCGAGAGACCGAUAGCGAACAAGUACCGUGAGGGAAAGAUGAAAAGAACUUUGGAAAGAGAGUUAAACAGUACGUGAAAUUGCUGAAAGGGAAACGCUUGAAGUCAGUCGCGUUGUCCAGGGAUCAACCUUGCUUUUGCUUGGUGCACUUUCUGGUUGACGGGUCAGCAUCAAUUUUGACUAUUGGAAAAAGAUUAGGGGAAUGUGACAUCUUUGGAUGUGUUAUAGCCCUUGGUUGCAUACAAUGGUUGGGAUUGAGGAACUCAGCACGCCGCAAGGCCGGG